This 805-nucleotide ribosomal RNA is filed under the name Geodermatophilus sp. Its description in RNAcentral is "bacterial SSU rRNA". It matches the Rfam family "Bacterial small subunit ribosomal RNA", at positions 67 to 883 of the family's 1533-position model. Lineage: Bacteria; Bacillati; Actinomycetota; Actinomycetes; Geodermatophilales; Geodermatophilaceae. The record is from RNAcentral.
CGAGGGCACUCCUUCGGGGGUGUUUCUAGUGGCGAACGGGUGAGUAACACGUGGGCAACCUGCCCCCGGCUCUGGGAUAACUCCAAGAAAUUGGGGCUAAUACCGGAUGUGCACCGCUUCCCGCAUGGGGGGUGGUGGAAAGGGUUUCCGGCUGGGGAUGGGCCCGCGGCCUAUCAGCUUGUUGGUGGGGUAGUGGCCUACCAAGGCGACGACGGGUAGCCGGCCUGAGAGGGUGACCGGCCACACUGGGACUGAGACACGGCCCAGACUCCUACGGGAGGCAGCAGUGGGGAAUAUUGCGCAAUGGGCGGAAGCCUGACGCAGCGACGCCGCGUGGGGGAUGACGGCCUUCGGGUUGUAAACCUCUUUCAGCAGGGACGAAGCGCAAGUGACGGUACCUGCAGAAGAAGCACCGGCCAACUACGUGCCAGCAGCCGCGGUAAUACGUAGGGUGCAAGCGUUGUCCGGAAUUAUUGGGCGUAAAGAGCUCGUAGGCGGUUCGUCGCGUCGGCUGUGAAAACCCGGAGCUCAACUCCGGGCCUGCAGUCGAUACGGGCGGACUGGAGUUCGGCAGGGGAGACUGGAAUUCCUGGUGUAGCGGUGAAAUGCGCAGAUAUCAGGAGGAACACCGGUGGCGAAGGCGGGUCUCUGGGCCGAUACUGACGCUGAGGAGCGAAAGCGUGGGGAGCGAACAGGAUUAGAUACCCUGGUAGUCCACGCCGUAAACGUUGGGCGCUAGGUGUGGGGGCCAUUCCACGGUCUCCGUGCCGCAGCUAACGCAUUAAGCGCCCCGCCUGGGGAGUAC